Molecule: ribosomal RNA, 385 nt
Filed under: uncultured crenarchaeote
Lineage: Archaea; Thermoproteati; Thermoproteota
Description: bacterial SSU rRNA
Rfam family: Archaeal small subunit ribosomal RNA
Source: RNAcentral
UACCAGCACCCCGAGUGGUCGGGACGAUUAUUGGGCCUAAAGCAUCCGUAGCCGGUCCUGCAAGUCCUCCGUUAAAUCCACCCGCUCAACGGUUGGGCCGCGGGGGAUACUACAGGGCUAGGAGGCGGGAGAGGCAAGCGGUACUCGAUGGGUAGGGGUAAAAUCCACUGAUCCAUUGAAGACCACCAGUGGCGAAGGCGGCCUGCCAGAACGCGCUCGACGGUGAGGGAUGAAAGCUGGGGGAGCAAACCGGAUUAGAUACCCGGGUAGUCCCAGCUGUAAACGAUGCAGACUCGGUGAUGGGCUGGCUUCGUGCCAACCCGGUGCCGCAGGGAAGCCGUUAAGUCUGCCGCCUGGGGAGUACGGUCGCAAGACUGAAACUUAA